RNAcentral lists this ribosomal RNA (303 nucleotides) under uncultured bacterium. Its description in RNAcentral is "bacterial SSU rRNA". It matches the Rfam family "Bacterial small subunit ribosomal RNA", at positions 355 to 649 of the family's 1533-position model. The record is from RNAcentral.
UGGGGAAUCUUCCGCAAUGGGCGAAAGCCUGACGGAGCAAUGCCGCGUGAGUGAAGAAGGCCUUCGGGUUGUAAAACUCUGUCCUUAUCGAAGAGAGGUAGGUAUGUGAAUAAUGUACCUAUAGGACGGUAGAUAAGGAGGAAGCCCCGGCUAACUACGUGCCAGCAGCCGCGGUAAUACGUAGGGGGCGAGCGUUGUCCGGAAUCACUGGGCGUAAAGGGCGCGUAGGCGGUUUAAUAAGUCAGUGGUGAAAACUGAGGGCUCAACCCUCAGCCUGCCACUGAUACUGUUAGACUUGAGUAU